CCUACGGGAGGCAGCAGUGAGGAAUAUUGGUCAAUGGGCGCGAGCCUGAACCAGCCAAGUAGCGUGAAGGAUGACUGCCCUACGGGUUGUAAACUUCUUUUAUAAAGGAAUAAAGUGAGGCACGUGUGCCUUUUUGUAUGUACCUUAUGUAUAAGGAUCGGCUAACUCCGUGCCAGCAGCCGCGGUAAUACGGAGGGUCCGAGCGUUAUCCGGAAUUAUUGGGUUUAAAGGGAGCGUAGAUGGGUUGUUAAGUCAGUUGUGAAAGUUUGCGGCUCAACCGUAAAAUUGCAUUUGAUACUGGCAGCCUGGAGUACAGUUGAGGUAGGCGGAAUUCGUGGUGUAGCGGUGAAAUGCUUAGAUAUCACGAAGAACUCCGAUUGCGAAGGCAGCCUACUAGACUGCAACUGACAUUGAUGCUCGAAAGUGUGGGUAUCAAACAGGAUUAGAUACCCUGGUAGUC
RNAcentral lists this ribosomal RNA (460 nucleotides) under uncultured bacterium. Its description in RNAcentral is "partial 16S ribosomal RNA". It matches the Rfam family "Bacterial small subunit ribosomal RNA", at positions 338 to 795 of the family's 1533-position model. The record is from RNAcentral.